GGGGGGGGGGGGGGGGGGGGGGGGGGGGGGGGGGGGGGGGGGGGGGGGGGGGCGGGGGGGGGGGGCGCGGGGGGGGAACGGGUGGGUGACGGGUGAGUGACCUGCCCUGGACGUUGGGAUAACUUCAGGAAACUGGGGCUAAUACCGGCUAGGAGCUCCUGCUGCAUGGUGGGGGUUGGAAAGUUUCGGCGGUUGGGGAUGGACUCGCGGCUUAUCAGCUGGUUGGUGGGGUAGUGGCUUACCAAGGCGUUGACGGGUAGCCGGCCUGAGAGGGUGACCGGCCACAUUGGGACUGAGAUACGGCCCAGACUCCUACGGGAGGCAGCAGUGGGGAAUAUUGCACAAUGGGCGGAAGCCUGAUGCAGCAACGCCGCGUGCGGGAUGACGGCCUUCGGGUUGUAAACCGCUUUCGCCUGUGACGAAGCGUGAGUGACGGUAAUGGGUAAAGAAGCACCGGCUAACUACGUG
RNAcentral lists this ribosomal RNA (468 nucleotides) under uncultured bacterium. RNAcentral's name for it is "partial 16S ribosomal RNA". The stretch from base 52 to 468 matches the Rfam family "Bacterial small subunit ribosomal RNA", at positions 39 to 507 of the family's 1533-position model. The record is from RNAcentral.